This is an RNA transcript of Choloepus didactylus (southern two-toed sloth), 2452 nucleotides long. It is a transcript of the gene named regulator of microtubule dynamics 3, with no coding region annotated. The transcript is spliced from 12 exons. NCBI's taxonomy places the organism in Eukaryota, Metazoa, Chordata, Mammalia, Pilosa, Megalonychidae. The record is from RefSeq and is a predicted model, not a curated record.
GACAGUGUGAGGCAGUGUCCGUGGCUGCUGCCAUGGUGGCGAGCUGCCGGGUAAUGCUCUGAGGGUCUGAGUUGAUUUCCUAUCACGCCCGAGCGCCCUCGACGGCGCGGCCCAGGCGGCGGCUUAGUUGUCUCUUGUGCCGUGAGGCUGAGCUGGGGGUUGAAGACCCAGAAGCCAGGUUCCUGUGAUGUGGUCUUAGGGGGCGUGUUGGAGGGGAGACGAGGGCCAAGCUGGGAGAAAGGCGCGGUAGUUUAGUCCCACUGGGCUGGCCGAAGCCUUAGGGACUGCAUUGGAGUGAGGGUAGUCUGGAGCUCAAGGUCUGGGCGAUGGGAUGUUUCCAGGGAUUCGGCCUUCGGGUGGGUGGGUGAGGCUCACGAAUCUCUCCCACUCUUCAGCUUUCCCCGCCGCCUUCUGUUCCUCGUGGCUCCCGCGGGUUGCAGGUGCAGCAUGUCUAGUUUAGGAGCCCUGGGCGGCGGCCGCACCGGGUUGGGGCUGUUGCUGGGCACCGCCGCGGGCCUUGGAUUCCUGUGCGCCCUUUCCAUCCAGCGGUGGAAACGGACCCAGCGCCAUGGCCGGAGCCAGAGCCUGCCCAACUCCCUGGACUACACGCGGACUUCAGAGUCCCGACGCGAGGUUAUGCUGUUGCGGGCAGCCCCAGGUGAGGCUGGAGAUGCUGCGGUGCUGCCCAGCCUUCCUCGAGAAGGGCGGGAGGAGGUGCUGGACCGUCUGGACUUUGUGCUGACCAGCCUCGUGGCCCUGCGGCGGGAGGUGGAGGAGCUGAGGAGCAGCCUGCAGGGGCUUGCUGGGGAGAUUGUUGGGGAGGUCCGAUCCCACAUGGAAGAGAACCAGAAAAUGGUUCGGCGGCGAAGAUUCCCGUUUGCCCGAGAGAGGAGCGACUCCACUGGCUCCAGCUCUGUGUACUUCACGGCCACCUCGGGAGCCACAUUCACAGAUGCUGAGAGUGAAGGAGGUUACACAACAGCCAAUGCCGAGUCUGACUAUGACCGGGACUCUGACAGGGAGAGUGAGGAUGGGGAGGAUGAAGUGAGCUGUGAGACUGUGAAGAUGGGAAGAAAGAAGUCCCUGGACCUGGAGGAGGAAGUGGCUUUGGGCCUGGCACCUGGUACCCUGGAGGAUAUGCUGCCCCUCCUGCAGCAGGCAGACGAGCUGCACCAGGGCAGUGAGCAGAGCAAACGAGAGGGCUUCCAGCUGCUGCUCAACAACAAGCUGGUGUAUGGAAGCCAACAGGACUUUCUUUGGCGCCUGGCCCGGGCCUACAGUGACAUGUGUGAGCUCACUCAGGAGGUGAGCGAGAAAAAGUCAUAUGCCCUAAAUGGAAAAGAAGAAGCAGAGGCUGCUCUGGAGAAGGGGGAUGAGAGUGCUGAAUGUCAUCAGUGGUAUGCAGUGCUUUGUGGUCAGCUGGCUGAGCAUGAAGGUAUCCAGAGGCGCAUCCAGAGUGGUUUUAGCUUCAAGGAGCAUGUGGACAAAGCCAUUGCUCUCCAGCCGGAAAACCCCAUGGCUCACUUUCUCCUUGGCAGGUGGUGCUACCAGGUCUCUCACCUGAGCUGGUUAGAAAAAAAAACUGCUGCAGCCUUGUUUGAAAGUCCUCUCAGUGCCACUGUGCAGGAUGCCCUCCAGAGCUUCUUAAAGGUGGAAGAACUACAGCCAGGAUUUUCCAAAGCAGGAAGAGUAUAUAUAUCCAAGGUUUUUACUGUCUUCUCAGUGCUACAGAGAACUAGGGAAGAACUCUGAAGCUAGACAGUGGAUGAAGUUUGCUCUGGAGCUGCCAGAUGUCACUAAUGAGGAUUCAGCUUUCCAGAAGGACCUAGAAGAAUUGGAAGUUAUUUUAGGAGAAUAAUCACAUUCCAUGACUGUUAAGGAAGAGAAUCAAGGCUAUUUUGUAUUAGGCCCUGCUUAGAUCAGGAGACCAAAGCAAGACUGGUUUAGGGAGUGUCCCGACUCCUGGAUGUGAAUGCUACCUGCUACCAUUCCCCAAUUUCUUGCCUGUUGUCCACCAGCUAAUUUAUUCUAUCCCUUAUCUAAUCUGAAAUUGUGGAGGUAGUUGAGGUCUGGGUUUUUGUUGUUCUCCUCCUUAUAAAGAAAAAUCAACACUGCCUUUCACCUGCUGGUGAGGUAGAACUUCAAAGAGCUCUUAAGAACAAAGCACAGAAUGUGUUAACCUUUUUCACUGAUUCACUGUAUAUAGUCUUAAGAUCACACCCUGCCUAUCAGGGUGAAAGGAGGGGUCAGGGCAGCCCAAGGACAUUGCCCUCUUAUCACCUAUCAUGUAGAUUCUUAACUGUAUUCCUCGGAUGACAGGCUGGAGUCCCAGCCGCUUUUGGAAUGACAGCAGUGGCGUAAGGUUUAUGAAGGUAUGACACUACUGGUGUGAAGAGGUGCCUGGAAUGUGUUGUGGUACAAAUGUGAAAUAAACCAAAUUUGAUUAGAAGUA